CCUACGGGAGGCAGCAGUGAGGAAUAUUGGUCAAUGGGCGCGAGCCUGAACCAGCAAAGUAGCGUGAAGGAUGACUGCCCUACGGGUUGUAACCUUCUUUUAUAACGGAAUAAAGUGAGGCACGUGUGCCUUUUUGUAUGUACUUUAUGAAUAAGGAUCGGCUAACUCCGUGCCAGCAGCCGCGGUAAUACGGAGGUUCCGAGCGUUAUCCGGAUUUAUUGGGUUUAAAGGGAGAGUAGAUGGGUUGUUAAGUCAGUUGUGAAAGUUUGCGGCUCAACCGUACGAUUGCAGUUGAUACUGGCAGACUUGAGUACAGGUGAGGUAGGCGGAAUUCGUGGUGUAGCGGUGAAAUGCGUAGAUAUCACGAAGAACUCCGGUUGCGAAGGCAGCUUACUAAACUGCCACUGACAUUGAUGCUCGAAAGUGUGGGUAUCAAACAGGAUGAGAUACCCGAGUAGUC
RNAcentral lists this ribosomal RNA (460 nucleotides) under uncultured bacterium. Its description in RNAcentral is "partial 16S ribosomal RNA". It matches the Rfam family "Bacterial small subunit ribosomal RNA", at positions 338 to 795 of the family's 1533-position model. The record is from RNAcentral.